GUGUACCAACAAAAUCCUAUUAUAAUGAUGCAUCUACUUUGUAAACAGGAGGCUGAAAAAAAAAAAAAAAACUCUUUAGUCUAAGCAGAACUAAGUAGUGUUCGUAAGCAAGACUCCAAGUCUAUGAUGUCAAUACUCAAAAAAAAAAAAAAAAAGUUCUAUGAUGUCAGUUAUUGGUUACAUUCAAGAACUCAAGGACACAGAGUGACAUUUCAUUAGAAUUGACAGAGCAAUAAAGUGAAUCAUUUACUGUCUGGUGUAUCAAAUCUUUUGAUGGAGGAGAUUGUCAAUGAUGAGAAUGGAAGAAUUUUUCAAAUAUAUGCUGUAACCACUUGAACGACAGUGGCCACGACGAGAUGAACCAAGUUUACGGUACCCACUGUGUAUAUUUUUUAAAGGAAAGUAUAGGUUUGGGAAGGGGAACCUAUUGCCCUUUUUUUUUUAAAGAAACAGUCAUGCCUGGGUAGCAUGAAUUUAAUUCAUUGAUGAAAGGUUGGUUUCCUUUGAGAUUAAUUACAUAUUCCCUUGCAAAUUUGUAAAUUUAGAUCCUAGAUUUGAUGAUGAAAGUCGCUAUUAAUGUCACAAAUGAGCCUGUAAAAAACGUUUGGCAAGUCUGCUAUUUGUGUUGCUUCCACACUUAUGGAGAAUGGUGGUGUUCCCCAAUCUCCAACAUGGAAGACUCUUCUUAAGUAGGCUAUUCAUGUUAUCAGUUGUGGGUGUGAGGAUAAAAUAGAUUGGGGAAGCGAGGUGUGUUGAUUUCUAUUAUUUAUAUAUUUUAACUUUGUCAUGGAUACUCUUUCUCUUUUUCAUUAUUAACUCGAACUCCCACUGCAUAUUGAUCGAAUUAAUGCAAUUCCUUUUAUUAGGAUGCAUCCAAUAUUUAAGGAAAUAUAUAAAAGAAAUUAGAUUGUUGAUUUUA
Long non-coding RNA from Jatropha curcas, 919 nucleotides. RefSeq lists it as uncharacterized. The record is from RefSeq and is a predicted model, not a curated record. NCBI's taxonomy places the organism in Eukaryota, Viridiplantae, Streptophyta, Magnoliopsida, Malpighiales, Euphorbiaceae.